RNAcentral lists this long non-coding RNA (419 nucleotides) under Fukomys damarensis (Damara mole-rat). RNAcentral describes it as "lncRNA (ENSFDAG00000024686.1)". The record is from RNAcentral. Lineage: Eukaryota; Metazoa; Chordata; Mammalia; Rodentia; Bathyergidae.
AUGGCCUGGGACAACUUGCCUUUGUGUCCUUCUGGGUUACAUAGUGUCUAUUCUCUGUGCCACUCCAAACAGAGGUGCAGCUUGGCUGUCAGCAAUGGCACCCUUCCCAGCAACCAUUGCUCCAGACACUGGCCCUUAUUUGAAGAAGUGAAUAUGCAUUGCAGAGCUCACCUUGUAUCACCAACAGCCCCCUCCACGUGGGUCUCAAACAGAACAGCAGCCUUAUGUCUCCCACCUUCCAGAAAGUGAAAGCAACUGCAAGCAAUUCCUGUUCAAGUUGGUCCAGUAAUGGAGUUGGGGAAGGGAUCAAGAAAAGUGGCUGUCCCUGUCAUAAUAACUGUCCUGCCCUGAAUCAGUGCAAGCCUGAGCCUCAGAGAGGAGCAACUUGGAGCAUCUUCCCCAUCGUGUGCCUAGCCACG